GGAACCUGCUGACAUGUGAUGUGUGCCCCGGAUACCCAGCUUUAAAAUUUCUCUCUUUUGUACUCUUUCCCUUUAUUUCUCAGACCGUCCAACACUUAGGGAAAUAGAAAAGAACCUACAUGAAAUAACAUUGAAUUAUUUGGGGUGGGUUCUCCUGAUAUCUGGCCCACCAACAUGGUUUUUUCUUUUUCCCAAGUGCAUGUGGGAACCCGAUUCCCUUUGGUAGGUGCAGAGAAACGUCAUCGGUUUGGUCCACAGAAAUGCUUGUUCGACUCCCUGACGACUGGAAACCCAUGCUAAGACAACACUGGCAGUGGCCCUGGAAAAGUAAACCUCAUGAUGGAUUUGGAGUUGGAUUGUUCACUGAUCUGAAGGACAGAGGACUCCACUUAAGUGUCCACCAGGGUUGACCAGACUUGGAGAACUGACUCUCAUAAAUUGAACUCACCAAAACCUGAGGUAAACUGAGCUACCUGAAGUUUAGACAGUGAUCAGACCUACUAGUUUCCUGCAAAAAGACAAUGGACUUCCCUGUGGAGUAGGAAGGUGGGCCACCUGACCACCCUCACCGUGGAAAGGGCUCCUCAGCUGCAUACACACCAACAUCAGAUUGCCUUUGCCAGGCUGGCAACGAAAUAUUUUGUGUUAAUAAAAUUUUCUGUAAUAAUUCUGUUAAGCCACAGGAUAAACUUAUGUCAAACUGAUUAUUUCUGAGAGGUGAGCUUUUAGGUAGUUUUUGCUUUCAUGUUUAGCUUCUCUGUGGCUUUUCUACU
RNAcentral lists this long non-coding RNA (773 nucleotides) under Homo sapiens (human). RNAcentral's name for it is "HSALNT0172414". Lineage: Eukaryota; Metazoa; Chordata; Mammalia; Primates; Hominidae. The record is from RNAcentral.